GAGGUGACGUCAUCCAAACUCGGAAGUGGAACGUUACAGUUACAGUGAAAGCGAAAGUGAAAACACGAGGAACUCAUGUAGUUAUCAUCCAAGAAUCAAAUACAGUCCAGCAGCCUUGCCAGAUAUCUAGAUGGAGAAUUCUGUGAGAUUAAAUAUUCUUUUAUUUUCGUGACGCGAUUUCAGUGUGUGAACGGUUUCAGUCCAUCAGGUAAGGUAAACCGCGUUUUCUUAAAGACUGAUUCACGGGAAUUAUCUCGAGCAAAUAAAAUGAAAUAUACAGUCACCUCUUCCAGACAAACGACGGAAGCUGUGCACGUUUUGUAAAGAUUUAAAAUAUCUGAAUCCAUUUUGCGCUUCACUCGAAUGUACGGUGCAAUUUUGAACUGACUCCGGAUCAAAACGGAGACUGCAGAGAGACUACAGUAUAUCAAGUUAAGACUGCCUUUCUUGAAAGAAAACCUUCGAAAUCAGGAGUUACAGUUUACUGGGAUGUUUGCAAUGACCGAGAGGGGCAUUAUCACUGAGGCCCGAUGCGAUCAAUCCACACACAGGAGUUUAUUAUUCACACACUUUCCGAAGAUGCUCAGAAAAUGUACAUCAGUAACGCAAUGAAAGGAAACUAUGCUGCUGUAUUUGCUCCGCUCAUUAUCGAUGGAAAAUCUCAGGCUGGAGCUCAUCAUUGCAGUACACUACAGUCACAGUCGCAGACAGUUUGGCCUGAAGGACCAGGAUGAGGUGAAGUUCAUCGAGCACCAAACGCAGUAUCUGAGACCUGGCUGCUGCCCUCGUGCUCACCUUCAACACCAGGUUUGAUGGAUCGUGCUUUGUGUCAGGGUCGGGAUCUUCAAGCUCUCGUCGCAGGACUCGAAGCCUGCAGCACGUGGGAGAACGUUGCGUGUCUGCAAGACUGCCGAUAGUUUACUGGCAGCAUGGUAGAGCAAAACAGAUGAGUUUUUUGUGGGAACGCCUGUUUACAUCACGUGACCAUUUUAGCUAUGGCACACAUACACCGAAGUGAGAGAAAAGGGAAGUUCAUGUACAUUAUUUAUAGUCCAUGUGUUGCAUGAAUGUGUGCAGAUGCUCUUUUUACUGUACAUCCACAUUUUUACAGAAGACUUUAACAUUAUAAAAAGGGGUCCAAAAGAUCACCCUGUAGGAUGCUGGGAUGCCGUAUGCACAACAACCCCAAAAUGUGUUUGUACACUGAAGCCACUCUUAAAAAGUAAUGUAAAAGAAUUUAUUAAAAUAAAGCAUAAAAAAGUUAGACACUAUUCAAGAACAGGAUUUCACAAAAAGACUAGCUGGUCAUUGCAAAAUUGGCUUAGAAAUGGGAAGUUAGUUCUCAGGAAUUGCCAGAUGAUCUUACCAACUACAGAGACAUGUAAAACAUCAAACUAAUUUUUCUAAUUACAUUAAGGAUGACAGAGUGGCUAUUCUUAAUAUUUUUGUCUAAAUUUCCAAUUUAAAUAUUUGGAAAAUACAAAAAGUUACAUUUAAGUUGCCAGUUUGGAACAACGAUUACUGUUUAGUGAUUUUACUAUAUUCAUCUAUUAAAUAAUUACAAUAUAUUUCAAAUGAAUCAAUGAUUAAUAAAUGUAAAAUCAAUUAUUGAAGUAAAGUAUAAUUAUGCAAUUAUUAAUGUUAUAUUAAAGAAAAUAAUAAUAUAACAUUUAUAACACAAAGACAUUUUUAUCUUGUUAAUUGUAGAGUCUUAAUAUCAUAAGCUGUGUUUUUGAAGUAAAAUGUAGGGGGUUUGAAAUAUUUGUUCAGGAAAAUAAGUCAAAAGAUUAAUUUAAAAGACUUUUCUUGUAGUGAGGAUGUUGCUGCCACAGAUCCCUAAAUGCUGUAUUAUUUUACCUUUAAAUGUGUGAACAAGCACAGUGUAUUAAUAGUGCAUCUGUGUGAGGUCUAGAGUAGGUGAUUCAUGUGCCCAUGUAGACUAUAAACUCACCACACGUCUUUGAUCAUUAAAGACACUGUUUAACUUCCCUUUGACUUUCUGAUUCACUCUUACACCCAGUAAGCAACAGAAAGGUGCUGUGCAUCUCUCAGCCUCUGAUGUUCUAGAGUAUUUCCACAUGCUCAGUCUCUGUGUGUGUGCGCGUGUGUGUAUGGGUUUGUGUGUCAAGAUAUAUUUUCCUCCCCUGAUAGCAAAUUUCCAUUCUCUCACCCUCCUCCCACACACUUAUACACACACACACACACACACCCCGAGAUCAUGCGCUAAUUUUCUCUGAGAUGCUUCUGAUAACAUUGAGAUGAGGGGCUUUUUAUUCACACCUUGCACAAGUGUUCCAUUUUGGGCUUUCAUUUAUGAUAUUAAUACGGACUUACACAUACGAUUGUAACACACAGUAGCGGUCACAGAUCACAGAAUAUUUAUUACAUUGUUCAGUGCCUCACAAAUAAGUCAUACAGAGAGAGUCACAGGCACAGUAAGGAGAUGCAAAGAGCCACAUCUGUAAAUUCAAGCACUGUUGUUCAUUCAAAGCAUCAAAUAUGUGAUUUUCAUAUAACAGCAAAUAGCAAUAGCAAACAAAGGCAAUUUAAAAUGCUCAUAAUCAUGCUUAUGAGAUAAAAGAGUUUGAUGCAAUAUGAAAAUGUACUGUAAAAUUUAGAACUUUAGACUUGACAAUGCAAAAAGUGCAGUUAUUGAAUGAUUAGUGAUCCGAUUAAGUAUUUACUUCUUUUUUUUAUGUUACUACUUGUUUCAGAAUGUAACAUUCAAAAGUAAAAUGAUCAAAUGGAAUAUUGCAACUUUUAAAUAAUUUUAAAAAAUGGAACAUUCCAAAAGAAUGGUUUUUGUCACUUAAUUGGAACAUUAGAAAAAUAUUCUUAGAACAUACUUUCAGUUAAAAGAUAUUCAUUACAUUUUUGGUAGUUUUCUUACUCUAAAAUGUUAAUUCACUAGCUGAAUCCAAAAUAUGAUGAUUUAAAUGAUAAAUAAGUUUCUAUUUUAUAUUGUUUGUGGUCUUUCCUCUUUUAAGCUGGUUAUAAAUAUUGUCUAGAUAGAAAACAUCUGCCCGGGGGUGCAGCAGACUUUGGUACAUCAAAGCACUGCUUUUCAUUUCAAAUUCGGAAGGACUGUUUCUUAAAGACAAAGUGUCCCAUUUUAUUUUAGGAGUCAGGGAGAAGGUGAAGAAUAAUCAGAAGAAAAAAAAAGCACUAUUUUACUGUUUCGAUACAAAUAACUAGGACCUCAGGGGAACAAUGUUUAAUGCAGCACCUCCUUCUAAUUUCACUAUUAUGCUACUAGUUGCUCUUAUUAUGUUUCUGCAGUGACCUUGGAGCAGUUUGCUCUCGCCGUCAAGAUUGCCAUAUCAAAGAGGAUUGUGCCUUGCUCACCAAGUUCUGCCUUCUUCAUGGCACUAGUCUGGUGUAUCAGGAGAGUGUGGUACCUGGACCCUCAACACCAACCGACAGAUCCACAGCUAGCUUUUGGGGCUGUGCAGAUCGGUGAAGGAUGAUGCGCUGAAGAUGGUCGAUGAUGGUCCAGGACAUCCCAUCCUCCUGCGUCCAGGCUCCUAUCGCUGGAGUCGACAAUCCCAGGGCCGAAUGGGCCCACAGUACCCCAGCAGCACCCAACCACAGUCUAUGCUCUAUAAAAGAGAAUGAACAUGACUUUAUGAGGAUGAGGAAGAAUGAUGGAGUGACAUCAGGUUUCCUGAUGUUCUUUCACACUGGGUCGUAGUGAUGAUGGGCUAAUUGGAGGGUUUUAUGAUUAAGCACGUGAAUGGUAGAACUUGCUGCUAAUGACCAAGGCCUUCAUUUAAAUAUACUAUGGGCAUUACACUAUUUUUACUUGUUCACUCUUAAUAAGAAAGGUUUCAAAGGGACGGGUUUGCAACAAUGCCGCAGAAGAACCAUUCUGAGUUCCAGAAAAGAACCUUUCGGAUAGUUCCGGUCCUUGAUUCUGAUUGGUUGAGCCAAGUUCGAAGCUGUUGUAAAUUACUCUACAAACAUACACCUUUGUUUACAUUUGUAUGUUGCUCAGCAACUACUUUGUUGGAACCACAAUGGUUUCUGAGGAACUACAUUGUUUGGCGGAAGAAUAUUUUGUUUCUUAAUAUCAUUACACUUUAUUUGCUCUGUUAAGAUUCUUCAUGUAAGCAAAGAUGCCAAUAAAGAACCUUUCAUUGAA
Molecule: long non-coding RNA, 4141 nt
Organism: Carassius gibelio (silver crucian carp)
Lineage: Eukaryota; Metazoa; Chordata; Actinopteri; Cypriniformes; Cyprinidae
Exons: 9
Source: RefSeq, a predicted model, not a curated record